Molecule: long non-coding RNA, 286 nt
Filed under: Phaseolus vulgaris (common bean)
Lineage: Eukaryota; Viridiplantae; Streptophyta; Magnoliopsida; Fabales; Fabaceae
Description: long non-coding RNA (PVUL_LNC002001)
Source: RNAcentral
CCACUUGUGUCUCCUUCAUGCGUGCCUGUUGUUCUCCUCGUUGUCAGCAACAUCACUUCUAUUCCAGAUUUUGUUGUUGAAGAUAUCGUCACUGCUUGCAAUAGCAGUUGUCUUCGCGCUUGCCUCUUACGACCAUCGUUUCACACUCGUCAUCAUUGCACCCCCUAUUGUUGUGUUCGUCGUCACCAAAUCUCGCUUUUAAUUCCAAAUCUCACGCGACAAAGCUUCAAAUGACCAACGGAGCUCGGGUCACCACCAUCUAUCGCUCACCUUCAACGACACUACU